This 507-nucleotide long non-coding RNA is filed under the name Apteryx owenii (little spotted kiwi). RNAcentral describes it as "lncRNA (ENSAOWG00000012290.1)". Lineage: Eukaryota; Metazoa; Chordata; Aves; Apterygiformes; Apterygidae. The record is from RNAcentral.
AACCUCCUGUCCGUUCCUAGUCGCCGAUUCUUCUGGGUAACAGUUAAGUGGGAACUGCUGACUUUCUGCUGGUUUCUGGCAGCAGAUGACAGGCUGGGACGGCAACGGGAGAAGGAGCACGGCUUAACUCCGCGCGGAGGGUCAUCCGAGAGCGCGCCGCUGCCUGCUGGCAUGUGGACCGGGUCAAGCGACAAAGGAGAGAAAGAAAUCCAAGUCCUCUCUCACAAAAGUCAAAUGCUCCUGCACAGGGCCGGACUGCAGCGAGGAUUUGCACAGCGGUGCUCGUUAAAUGAUAUGCAGAUGUACGUGAGAGUCCGCUGAAAUCAGUGAGCUAUUUGGAAACAGGCUGGGCUGGAAGCGCUGCGCUCUUGGCGAUUUGGGGAAAAGCUGUUUGCAUUUCUCCCAGCGGGGCUGCCGGCCGUCGCUGACCUCCGUGCGGCUCCGAGCGGUAGGUGCAGCGCGUCCCUCGCCGCCGCGACGGGCGCGCUGGAGGGCGGCGAGGCUGGG